RNAcentral lists this ribosomal RNA (468 nucleotides) under uncultured bacterium. RNAcentral's name for it is "partial 16S ribosomal RNA". It matches the Rfam family "Bacterial small subunit ribosomal RNA", at positions 28 to 507 of the family's 1533-position model. The record is from RNAcentral.
GACGAACGCUGGCGGCGUGCUUAACACAUGCAAGUCGAACGGAAAGGCGCUGCUUUUGUUGGGCGCUCGAGUGGCGAACGGGUGAGUAACACGUGAGUAACCUCCCCUUGACUGUGGGAUAAAUUCAGGAAACAGGGGCUAAUAUCGGAUAGGAGAUCCUGCUGCAUGGUGUGGGUUGGUAAAUUUCGGUGGUGGUGGAUGGACUCGCGGCUUAUCAGCUUGUUGGUGGGGUAGUGGCUUACCAAGGCUUUGACGGGUAGCCGGCCUGGGAGCGUGGCCGGCCUCAUUGCGCCUGAGAUACGGCCCAGACUCCUACGGUAGGCAGCAGUGGGGAAUAUUACACAAUGGGCGGGAGCGUGAUGCAGCGACGCCGCGUUCGUGAUGACGGCCUUCGAGUUGUAAACCGCUUUCGCAGGUGACGAAGCGUGAGUGACGGUAAUGGGUCAAGAAGCACCGGCUAACUACGUG